This 388-nucleotide ribosomal RNA is filed under the name uncultured microorganism. RNAcentral describes it as "bacterial SSU rRNA". It matches the Rfam family "Bacterial small subunit ribosomal RNA", at positions 9 to 392 of the family's 1533-position model. The record is from RNAcentral.
GAGUUUGAUCGUGGCUCAGAUUGAACGCUGGCGGCAUGCCUUACACAUGCAAGUCGAACGGCAGCAUGAUCUAGCUUGCUAGAUUGAUGGCGAGUGGCGAACGGGUGAGUAAUACAUCGGAACGUGCCCUGUAGUGGGGGAUAACUAGUCGAAAGAUUAGCUAAUACCGCAUACGACCUGAGGGUGAAAGUGGGGGACCGCAAGGCCUCAUGCUAUAGGAGCGGCCGAUGUCUGAUUUAGCUAGUUGGUGGGGUAAAGGCCCACCAAGGCGACGAUCAGUAGCUGGUCUGAGAGGACGAUCAGCCACACUGGGACUGAGACACGGCCCAGACUCCUACGGGAGGCAGCGGUGGGGAAUUUUGGACAAUGGGCGAAAGCCUGAUCCAGC